RNAcentral lists this non-coding RNA (23 nucleotides) under Arabidopsis thaliana (thale cress). Lineage: Eukaryota; Viridiplantae; Streptophyta; Magnoliopsida; Brassicales; Brassicaceae. The record is from RNAcentral.
CACAUUGCCACGCGUCAGAUGCA